This 556-nucleotide long non-coding RNA is filed under the name Glycine max (soybean). Its description in RNAcentral is "long non-coding RNA (GMAX_LNC003114)". The record is from RNAcentral. Lineage: Eukaryota; Viridiplantae; Streptophyta; Magnoliopsida; Fabales; Fabaceae.
GUUGGGGCAUUCCAGGUUUUGGUAGUAUCUUCCCUGGAUGGGGUAUCCCUAUUGGUGGUGGUGGGCCUGGAGUUGGUGCACCAGGAAUGGGCAAGCCUGGUGGUGACGGACCCGGAGGUGGUGGCGGACCCAAAGGUGGUACAGGGUCUGGUGGUGGUGGACCCGUAGGUGGUGGUUAUGGAGGCGGGCCUGGAGGUGGUGCAGGGCCUGGUGGUGGUGCAGGUCCUAGUGGUGGCGGAUCCGAAGGUGGUGCAGGUCCUGGUGGUGGCGGACACGAAGGUGGUACAGGACCUGGUGGUGGCGGACCUGUAGGCGGCGGUUACGGAGGCGGGCCCGGAGGUGGUGCAAGUCCAGGUGGUGGUGAAUCUGGAGGUGGUGCAGGACCUGGUAGUGGCGGUUAUGGAGGUGGGCCUGGAGGUGGUGCAGGGUCUGGUGGUGGUGGCGGGCCCGGAGGUGGUACAGGGCCUGGUGGUGGUGGUUAUGGAGGUGGGCCUGGAGGUGUAGGGCCUGGUGGUGGUGGCGGACCUGGAGGUGGUGCAGGUCCUGGUGGUGGCGN